UCUCUAUUUCUCUCUUCUCCCUCACUCACCCUUACACUCUCUUGGCUCUCUCUAGCUCAGCCCCUCCAAGGGCUUUUCUUACCAACAAACAUCACCACAACAACAUCAACAUCUCCAUUAGCACCCUAGUGAGCUUAGAAUCGAAGAAAGGACACCUCAAACCUUUCUCUUCCAUUCGGCUGGUACUGUUCAUCGUCUUUCCCGAUGAGUUUAUGGAUUUUUCAACGUUGAAAAUUGCUCGGGAAAGCUUUUCCAAAUUUUCCAGCGAGCACCGUCAAUUUCGAGAUAAUUUCCGGCCAAACCACUGUGAGUUGGCCGGCGUGCAAGUUUCCGGCGACCUCCAAGGCUUUCAAGGUAUUUUCCGGCCAAACCACAGUGAGUUAGAUGUCAUGUGAGGGGCAAUAUUUGUGACGUUUUCGUGGUUGCUAGUUGCGUGGCUCUUCGGCGGUGAAGUACUGAUGUAGGGAUAGAUUCCGGUCCGUCCUGGGCGACGGUUUGGUGUUGGCAUAGGGCUUGGAGGGUGUUUCCUCUAGCAUUUAAGACCAGGGACGGGGAGCCGGCAUGGGGCCUAAAGUGUAUUUUCCUCUGACUGUCUGCUCAGAGACGGGGAGCCGGCAUGGGGCCUGGGGGUUAUCGGACAAUUCAC
Molecule: non-coding RNA, 646 nt
Organism: Malus domestica (apple)
Lineage: Eukaryota; Viridiplantae; Streptophyta; Magnoliopsida; Rosales; Rosaceae
Source: RefSeq, a predicted model, not a curated record